This 484-nucleotide ribosomal RNA is filed under the name uncultured bacterium. RNAcentral's name for it is "partial 16S ribosomal RNA". It matches the Rfam family "Bacterial small subunit ribosomal RNA", at positions 29 to 507 of the family's 1533-position model. The record is from RNAcentral.
AUUGAACGCUGGCGGCAUGCUUUACACAUGCAAGUCGAACGGCAGCGCGGGCUUCGGCCUGGCGGCGAGUGGCGAACGGGUGAGUAAUACAUCGGAACGUGCCCAGUAGUGGGGGAUAGCUCGGCGAAAGCCGGAUUAAUACCGCAUACGACCUGAGGGUGAAAGCGGGGGAUCUUCGGACCUCGCGCUAUUGGAGCGGCCGAUGGCAGAUUAGCUAGUUGGUGGGGUAAAGGCCUACCAAGGCGACGAUCUGUAGCUGGUCUGAGAGGACGACCAGCCACACUGGGACUGAGACACGGCCCAGACUCCUACGGGAGGCAGCAGUGGGGAAUUUUGGACAAUGGGCGAAAGCCUGAUCCAGCAAUGCCGCGUGCGUGAUGAAGGCCUUCGGGUUGUAAAGCACUUUUGGCGGGAACGAAAAGGACUGUGCCAAUACCACGGUUCGAUGACGGUACCCGCAGAAUAAGCACCGGCUAACUACGUG